Molecule: ribosomal RNA, 553 nt
Filed under: uncultured bacterium
Lineage: Bacteria
Description: bacterial SSU rRNA
Rfam family: Bacterial small subunit ribosomal RNA
Source: RNAcentral
CUACGGGAGGCAGCAGUGGGGAAUCUUCCGCAAUGGACGAAAGUCUGACGGAGCAACGCCGCGUGAGUGAUGACGGCCUUCGGGUUGUAAAGCUCUGUUAAUCGGGACGAAAGGCCUUCUUGCGAAUAGUGAGAAGGAUUGACGGUACCGGAAUAGAAAGCCACGGCUAACUACGUGCCAGCAGCCGCGGUAAUACGUAGGUGGCAAGCGUUGUCCGGAAUUAUUGGGCGUAAAGCGCGCGCAGGCGGAUAGGUCAGUCUGUCUUAAAAGUUCGGGGCUUAACCCCGUGAUGGGAUGGAAACUGCCAAUCUAGAGUAUCGGAGAGGAAAGUGGAAUUCCUAGUGUAGCGGUGAAAUGCGUAGAUAUUAGGAAGAACACCAGUGGCGAAGGCGACUUUCUGGACGAAAACUGACGCUGAGGCGCGAAAGCCAGGGGAGCGAACGGGAUUAGAUACCCCGGUAGUCCUGGCCGUAAACGAUGGGUACUAGGUGUAGGAGGUAUCGACCCCUUCUGUGCCGGAGUUAACGCAAUAAGUACCCCGCCUGGGGAGUAC